GGGGGGUGGGGGGGGGAAAGGGAUAACACCAAGGUACCAUCUUUGCAUUUCAGAUCCACACAACUUAAAGAUCUGCUGCCGAGUGAACGGGGAAGUGGUCCAGAGCAGCAACACCAACCAGAUGGUAUUCAAGACGGAGGACCUGAUAGCCUGGGUCUCCCAGUUUGUCACCUUUUACCCAGGGGAUGUCAUCCUGACUGGGACCCCCCCAGGUGUCGGUGUAUUCAGGAAACCUCCUGUCUUUCUCAAGAAGGGGGAUGAAGUCCAGUGUGAGAUUGAAGAACUAGGUGUCAUCAUCAACAAGGUGGUGUGAUGGCUCCUGCACAGGCCCUGGACAUAGGAUGGGGGCAUCUGCUCCCGCUCAGCCUAGCCCAGGGAAAGGCCCAGUGACAGGUAUGGGCAGGUGCCGGCCCUGCAAGCCGCCUCUUCUGGGUAGAAGGGAGAAGGACAGAGCUCUCUUCAAUAAAUUUGUCAGGCCAAAGCAGCA
Molecule: non-coding RNA, 487 nt
Organism: Chlorocebus sabaeus (green monkey)
Lineage: Eukaryota; Metazoa; Chordata; Mammalia; Primates; Cercopithecidae
Source: RefSeq, a predicted model, not a curated record